Electrophorus electricus (electric eel) is the source of this 919-nucleotide non-coding RNA. The record is from RefSeq and is a predicted model, not a curated record. NCBI's taxonomy places the organism in Eukaryota, Metazoa, Chordata, Actinopteri, Gymnotiformes, Gymnotidae.
CGGUAGCUGGUGUGCAGGCUACAAACCAGUAUCUACGGAUGCCCCACAGUUCCAGCACGAACCGGAACACGCAAUCGAAAACACACAGUGAUGUAGGUUACAGAACUCCGCGUGUGUAAAAACAUCCUACUCCUGGGUUUCCCCACAUGCUGUCGAGUAAUAUUUGGCUGCUGCUGGAUCUGGAAAUGACUCACACGCGCAAAAUAAAGAACAGGCCAGGCAGACGGACGGACCGGGUGCACGCGGAGGAAUCACGUUCUGUAGCUGCGCGGGGAGGGCGGCGGCGGACCGUGCACCGGGCCCAGCCUCGAGCACUCUGAGUCACCGCCCAUGAGCUGACGCUGACUCAGAGGAAACGGCCAUGAUGCAGUGGACGCAGGAAACCGUGCGUACCUGGCCGAGCUCACGAACGCGACCACGUGGCUGGAGAAAGUGUGUUAAUGAAGUAACGGGCGCCCGUUGCUCUGGGACGCGGGUCUUCCGCGCACACCCUGGGUCAUCAAAAACGGCACUGUUCAGUUUUUCAGCAUAGCACAGCUGCUUUGGUGAAGGUUAUUUCUGGGACAUGCAAAUGGUAGAUGAUGAUUCUGGCACAUCAACAUCUCGCAUUAUUUACUUGGUAACUACGUUUUCAUGUCUUUGGUGUUACUCACUCACGGAUGUUAUGAUCGCGGUAUGUAACAUGAGGUGAGUCACACCGUCUAGCACGCGGCAAUAAGGGAGUUGGAAAGUACCCGACUUUACCCUUAUGAAUGAAACACCAUGUCCAGGGGCCAGGCAUUUUAGGGCAGUUUGGUGUAUUACAUAACAUUUAGCCUAGGACGUUUCACAAGUUAAACGUUAACAAUUACAUACAAUUUAGUUUAUAGCUCUACUUAUCUUUGCAAGCAUGCAUUUAAUAAAUCGUUUGCAAGCUUUA